CCUACGGGCGGCAGCAGUGGGGAAUAUUGCACAAUGGGGGUAACCCUGAUGCAGCGAUGCCGCGUGGAGGAAGACGGUCUUCGGAUUGUAAACUCCUUUUUUCAGGGACGAUAAUGACGGUACCUGAAGAAAAAGCUCCGGCUAACUACGUGCCAGCAGCCGCGGUAAUACGUAGGGAGCGGGCGUUGUCCGGAAUUACUGGGUGUUAAGGGAGCGUAGGCGGGACGGCAAGUCAGAUGGGAAAACUGCGGGCUCAACCUUCAGACUGCAUUUGAAACUGCUGUUCUUGAGUGAAGGAGAGGUAAGCGGAAUUCCUAGUGUAGCGGUGAAAUGCGUAGAUAUUCGGAGGAACACCGGUGGCGAAGGCGGCCAACUGGGCUGUAACUGACGCUGAGGCUCGAAAGUGUGGGGAGCGAACAGGAUUAGAUACCCGUGUAGUC
Molecule: ribosomal RNA, 440 nt
Filed under: uncultured bacterium
Lineage: Bacteria
Description: partial 16S ribosomal RNA
Rfam family: Bacterial small subunit ribosomal RNA
Source: RNAcentral